Molecule: ribosomal RNA, 113 nt
Filed under: Pteropus alecto (black flying fox)
Lineage: Eukaryota; Metazoa; Chordata; Mammalia; Chiroptera; Pteropodidae
Source: RNAcentral
GUCUACCAUGCCACCCUGAACAAGCCUGAUGUCUGAUCUCAGAAGCUAAGCAGGGUUGGGCCUGGUUAGUACUUGGAUGGGAGGCUAUCUGGGAAGACCAGGUGCUGUAGGCA